GACGAACGCUGGCGGCGUGCCUAAUACAUGCAAGUUGAGCGCUGAAGGUUGGUACUUGUACCAACUGGAUGAGCAGUGAACGGGUGAGUAACGCGUGGGGAAUCUGCCUUUGAGCGGGGGACAACAUUUGGAAACGAAUGCUAAUACCGCAUAAAAACUUUAAACACAAGUUUUAAGUUUGAAAGAUGCAAUUGCAUCACUCAAAGAUGAUCCCGCGUUGUAUUAGCUAGUUGGUGAGGUAAAGGCUCACCAAGGCGAUGAUACAUAGCCGACCUGAGCGGGUGAUCGGCCACAUUGGGACUGAGACACGGCACAAACGCCUACGGGAGGCAGCAGUAGGGAAUCGUCGGCAAUGGACGAAAGUCUGACCGAGCAACGCCGCGUGAGUGAAGAAGGUUUUCGGAUCGUAAAACUCUGUUGGUAGAGAAGAACGUUGGUGAGAGUGGAAAGCUCAUCAAGUGACGGUAACUACCCAGAAAGGGACGGCUAACUACGUG
This 497-nucleotide ribosomal RNA is filed under the name uncultured bacterium. RNAcentral's name for it is "partial 16S ribosomal RNA". It matches the Rfam family "Bacterial small subunit ribosomal RNA", at positions 28 to 507 of the family's 1533-position model. The record is from RNAcentral.